This is a long non-coding RNA of Mus musculus (house mouse), 3640 nucleotides long. RefSeq annotates it as predicted gene, 46840. The transcript is spliced from 5 exons. The record is from RefSeq and is marked validated. Lineage: Eukaryota; Metazoa; Chordata; Mammalia; Rodentia; Muridae.
ACUCGCGCGCUCGCUUCCAGCCACCCGAUGAUGGAGCGGCCGCCGUGCGCCCUGCUGCUGGGUGCAGCCGGACUCCUGCCCCUGCCCCUGCCCCUGCCCCUGCCCCUGCCCCUGCCCCUGCCCCUGCCCCUGCCCCUGCCCCUGCCCCUGCCCCUGCCCCUGCCCCUCUCAUCUUCGGAAGCCGCGGGGAGAAGGCCAUCACCCAGGUCAGCAAGGGCACCUGCGAGCAAGGCCCACUUUGCUCUUCCAAAGACUGCAUUGCCUUUACUGAAGGCUAGCUACAUCGAUGGCACACCACAUGAACAUGAUGAGUCGUCCUGUGAAGGAACCAAGCCAUCUGCAAUACAACCGCUGUUUGGAAACUUCAUCUUCUUACUGAGCUUGGCUGUCUGCUACAUGCUCCCUGUGGAGUGGAACAUCCGCAGACAUUUUAAAGGAACAGCUUUGUGUCCCACCAAAGGCACCCAUCCCUGGGUCUCUUAAGCUGCCAGGCGUCAGUGCUGUUUUGCACAGACGAUGCUAUUAAUAGCAUUGCAGUCUUUGGUUUCAAUGUAGAGGCUCUCAGGGACUUACCCUGGGAAUAGAGACAUCAGCAGAUUUCCAGAUGUUUCUUGGUUAUUGGAAUACCCUGACAGAUUUUUAGCUGUCAUGUCCUUCAGUCCAGCAAUCCAGAUGUUCUUUCUCUGCCAUUUGUCAUGGGGUAUAGCCAGGAUCUUAACUACUAGACACCUCUAGUAUUCUAAUAGAGUGUUAAUGGCAUUGGCAACACAGGGUAUGAGAAAUAACCUCAAUUUAAGUUAUUUUGUGGCAUCAGAACACAGUGCCAUUUAUGCUUUCUGUAAAAAUAUCCUUUGUAUCUUCCAGCUUCUGGCACUACUGACUUUGGAUCUGUGGGCAGUAUUUGGAUCAAGAGCAGUACUGUUACAGAUUGAAAACUCAGGGAGACGCACACACAUGUUAGUUUCAGACUUCUGUGUUCCUGAGGAUUGCUUUAACUUGUGAUCUCCCUGGCCCUGCCUCCCCAGGGCUGGAUUUGUAGAAAUGCACAACCAUGCCUGGUUCAUGUGUGCUGAGGACCAAUCCCAGGGUUCUAUGCAUGCUGGGUGCUGAUGACUGAACACUUAGACUCACACAUCAUAUGUGGGUAAGCUCUCCCAUCUACCACCUAGCUUCAGGUUUGUCAGCCAUCUCUCCACAUACACAUUAAGCAUUUGAAAAUAGACACUGCUGAUAUUGGAUGAUGUCAAGGUUCAGAAGACCUUCCAGAGGAUUUCGAGGAUCUUCUGUCCUCAAGGAAUCGAUUACAGAUUUCUACUUGCAGAAAAGCUCAGCUGGACACAGCUCAAGUGAGCUGCACAUAUAUUCUCCCUCUACAACCCACUAUAAAGGAGUGGAUGCUCUCUGGAACAUUCUAACCCCACUGCAGAGGCUCAGAACAGAGUAACAAUCACUGGUGUGGACAAUGUAUCUAAGGCUUAAGCUGACUGCUUUGCGGGAACACUUCACUAACCGCUCAAUCCCCAUGAUGCAGUUCUGAAUCCUCCCUGUAACAGGGGGUCUUCGCUCGUGCCUGAAGAUGUUACGUCCCGGGUUUCAGCACCACUCUGUGGUAUGCCUGGCUCACCAGCAAGAAAGACGCCACAGCAGGAUCCUUCUGCAACACAUUUAUUGGGAGAGCAUUGACUGUGUAGGUAAAAGACCCCGAGCCCCAGAACUGGUGCUGUUUAUAUAGGCCUAGGAUUGACGUGUCCACACCUGAUUGGUUGUGCCCUUAGCACCUCAUUCACGUGCCUUGGGUCAGGCAGUGACUCAGCAAAAAACUCUAUGGCACAUGCGCACAUUGGUUGUUUACCGAUAUUCAUGGGCGUCCGCUUAUUGAAACUAGCGCCAUUUUGUAAUGGCGUUUGUGGCUUCCCACAUCUCUUGUAAUGGCGUUUGCAGCUUCCCACACAUCAUCAUGUGAUAAACUGAAGUACAACAUCAGGAGAAAAUAAGUUCUAACCAGCAACAACAGACUACUGGUAUCCCUCAACACAUGUGGCAAAACAUCUAAGUAGCAGCCUAGGCUUGGAACUGGACAAGGCUGUCUAUUGUAGUAGGUCUGUACCAAAACUUGACAAAUACAUUCAGAGUCAAUGAACUAUGAGAGACAUUAAAAGUUUUAACAGUCCUUCCAUAUCCCAAGGAGUUCUACAUGACUAAUAUAACAAAGAAAGUGGCUCUCAUAAGCCAGCAGAGCCUGCCAGUUUUCUCCUCCCCAAAGCUGCUCUGUGCCCUCACUAUAGUGACAGAUGAUGACACUAACGGCAAGAAAUGUACCAGGCCUUGUACUUGAAAAUGUUUGAAAAAGCAUGUACUCAAUUCAAUGUUAACUGUCCUUCAUUCAGUUAAGAAAGAUAAGCCAAAUAGUCCUGAGAGGAAUGAAAUCUAUCUGUAAAAUGCAGGAAAUAGUGGCUACCUGAAGUGUCAUUUAUUUUUAAAUCACAUUUUCUGUUGGAAAAUAAGAGGUGGGAAACAGCACUUCUGCUCUUACUCACGUCAUCCCCAAGUGGAGAGAGCAUGAAAUUGUCCAGUGGUUAUAUAUGACUGUAAUCUCAACAUUUGGGGUGGGGGUCUCAGGUAGGAGAAUCAAGAGUUCAAGGUCAUCUUUGGUUAUAUAGCCAGUUGUCUGGGAUAAAAAAGAACCUGACUCUGCUGUUCAUGUCACAUCACCAGCUCUGAGAAGUCACAGUCUUGGUCCACUCAACUUGCUGUGAAUGGGAAUCUCAGACAGAUUUCCUGCUACUUUGGGCGAAUAGAAAAUGAGGAGUUCAGCUAGUCACAAACACAUUUAAAGAAUAAAAACAUUUUCAGAACAUCAUGAGAUUGAGGUAAUCAUUCCUGAUGCUCUUAGUGCCUGGAGCUGCCAAGUGUGGCAUCCUGCACCUACAGGAGCCAAUUUACAUUGUAGGCUUGAAACUUUCAAACAAACAAAAUAUAAAAAAAAAAACAAACAAAAAAAAACAAUUGUUUAAACCAAUAGGUCACCUCAGUUGUGAACAGUGUUAAGAAUUAAUAUUAUGAAAAUACUUUAAACCUAAAAAUUUUGAAUGUUGCCUUCGGGGGUAGGGUGGUUAUGGGAGGGCUCUGGUGUCCGGAAUGGAGGUUUGUAACUUUGUGUGGUCAGCGCUGGAGUCAGCCCUGGUGGUCAGGGAGGAUUGUGAUGAACUUGGAGCUGGUUCUUAGCCCCUCCCCCUGCCCCCCGUCCCCCCCCCCCCCCCCCGCACCUGCCCCCUCCGUGGAAAGAGCUCGGAGGAGUGGAGCGGGGACUGAGACGCCUAGGGACAUGGAAGCGCCUGAGCGAGCACAGCCCAGAGUCCCACAGCCUGCUGCCUGUGCAGCCUUCAAGGUAGCUGAGAAGCAGCAACCCUUUCCAGUGCUCACAGGAUGAUGAGUGGCAGUGGAGGAACGAGACAGUGCUCACAUACAUGGCCAUGGCCGCCGUGGGCAUGCUAGGGGCCUCCUAUGUCGCGGUGCCCCUUUAUAGGUUCUACUGUCAGAAUACUGGACUUGGAGGAUCAGCAGUGGCCGGGCACUCAUCAGACCAGAUUGAAAACGGGGUGCCUGUUAAGGAUCGAUCAGUAAAGUCACCUUUAAUGUC